This 82-nucleotide transfer RNA is filed under the name Glomus cerebriforme. It matches the Rfam family "tRNA". Rfam says of the family: Transfer RNA (tRNA) molecules are approximately 80 nucleotides in length. The record is from Rfam by way of RNAcentral. Lineage: Eukaryota; Fungi; Glomeromycota; Glomeromycetes; Glomerales; Glomeraceae.
GCUCAAUUAGUUUAGUUAGUUAGAACAUUAAAUAAUUUUUAUUUUUAUUUUAAAGAUACAGGUUCAAUUCCUGUACUGGGCC